This 253-nucleotide ribosomal RNA is filed under the name uncultured bacterium. RNAcentral's name for it is "partial 16S ribosomal RNA". It matches the Rfam family "Bacterial small subunit ribosomal RNA", at positions 524 to 776 of the family's 1533-position model. The record is from RNAcentral.
UACAGAGGGUGCGAGCGUUGUUCGGAAUUACUGGGCGUAAAGAGCGCGCAGGCGGCUUGGUAAGUCGGAUGUGAAAUCCCGAGGCUCAACCUCGGGUCUGCAUCCGAUACUGCCCGGCUAGAGGUAGGUAGGGGAGAUCGGAAUUCCUGGUGUAGCGGUGAAAUGCGCAGAUAUCAGGAAGAACACCCGUGGCUAAGGCGGCUCUCUAGUACGGUACUGACGCUGAGACGCGAAAGCGUGGGGAGCGAACAGG